Molecule: transfer RNA, 63 nt
Filed under: Mycopsylla gardenensis
Lineage: Eukaryota; Metazoa; Arthropoda; Insecta; Hemiptera; Carsidaridae
Description: tRNA-Leu
Source: RNAcentral
AUCUAAUGUGGCAGAUAAAUGUACUAAAUUUAAGAUUUAAUAAUGAAAAAUUUUCCUUUAGAA